GUGCUCGUUUCCUCAGCAGGUAUACAAAAAAGGUAAUGAUGCAGAGAUUAGCAUGGACCCCACACAGGGAUCUCAUUGCACAUUUGUGAGGCAUUCCAUAUUAAA
This is a small nuclear RNA of Ursus americanus (American black bear), 105 nucleotides long. Lineage: Eukaryota; Metazoa; Chordata; Mammalia; Carnivora; Ursidae. The record is from Ensembl.